RNAcentral lists this ribosomal RNA (427 nucleotides) under Leptotrichia hofstadii. RNAcentral describes it as "bacterial SSU rRNA". It matches the Rfam family "Bacterial small subunit ribosomal RNA", at positions 46 to 489 of the family's 1533-position model. The record is from RNAcentral. Lineage: Bacteria; Fusobacteriati; Fusobacteriota; Fusobacteriia; Fusobacteriales; Leptotrichiaceae.
GCUUAACACAUGCAAGUCUUUGGCGAAUCUGUGCUUGCACAGGCUAGCCAAGGCGGACGGGUGAGUAACGCGUAAAGAACUUGCCCUGCAGACAGGGAUAACAGACGGAAACGACUGACAACACCUGAUACAGUUGCCGGCACGCAUGUGCCUGGCAAUGAAAAGAGAUGCUGCGGGAGAGCUUGCGUCCUAUUAGCUUGUUGGCGGGGUAACGGCCCACCAAGGCGAUGAUAGGUAGCCGGCCUGAGAGGGUGAACGGCCACAAGGGGACUGAGAUACGGCCCUUACUCCUACGGGAGGCAGCAGUGGGGAAUAUUGGACAAUGGGGGCAACCCUGAUCCAGCAAUUCUGUGUGCACGAGGAAGGUUUUCGGAUUGUAAAGUGCUUUUCAGCAGGGAAGAAGGAAGUGACGGUACCUGCAGAAGAA